This 642-nucleotide ribosomal RNA is filed under the name Melampsora ferrinii. Its description in RNAcentral is "partial large subunit ribosomal RNA". It matches the Rfam family "Eukaryotic large subunit ribosomal RNA", at positions 34 to 659 of the family's 3401-position model. The record is from RNAcentral. Lineage: Eukaryota; Fungi; Basidiomycota; Pucciniomycetes; Pucciniales; Melampsoraceae.
UUAAGCAUAUCAAUAAGCGGAGGAAAAGAAAAUAACUAUGAUUCCCUUAGUAACGGCGAGUGAACAGGGAGAAGCCCAAAUUUGUAAUCUGGCACUUUUUACAGGUGUCCGAGUUGUAAUUUGUAGAACUGCUAUCCGUACUGGACCAUGUACAAGUCUGUUGAAAAGCAGCAUCAUUGAAGGUGAAAAUCCUGUAGAUGAUAUGGACUACCAGUAUAUUUGUGAUGCGGUUUCUAAGAGUCGAGUUGUUUGGGAAUGCAGCUCAAAGUGGGUGGUAAAUUCCAUCUAAGGCUAAAUAUGAGUGAGAGACCGAUAGCAUACAAGUACCGUGAGGGAAAGAUGAAAAGAACUUUGAAAAUAGAGUUAACAGUACGUGAAAUUGCUGAAAGGGAAACGUUUGAAGUUAGUUUUGUAUUCGUUGGAUCAGCUUCGCAAGGAGUGUAUUCCGAUGAUAGGCAAGUCAACAUCAAUCUAUGAGUGUUGGAUAAGGGUUUUGAGAACGUAGCAAUUCAGUUGUGUUAUAGCUCGAGACUUGGAUACGAUGCUUUGGAUUGAGGAACGCGUAGUAAGCUUUGAGCGGAUUCGAAAGGAUCUCCUUACUAUGGAUGUUGGUGAAAUAACUUUAAGCGACCCGUCUUGAAA